Molecule: ribosomal RNA, 253 nt
Filed under: uncultured bacterium
Lineage: Bacteria
Description: partial 16S ribosomal RNA
Rfam family: Bacterial small subunit ribosomal RNA
Source: RNAcentral
CACGGGGGGAGCAAGCGUUGUUCGGAAUCACUGGGCGUAAAGGGCGUGUAGGCGGUCAGGUAAGUGGGAUGUGAAAUGCCUCGGCUCACCCGAGGCACUGCAUUCCAAACUGCUUGGCUUGAGUAUGGGAGAGGAUGAGGGAAUUCCUGGUGUAGCGGUGAAAUGCGUAGAUAUCUGGAGGAACAUCGGUGGCGAAGGCGGCAUCCUGGACCGGUAUUGACGCCGAGGCGCGAAAGCUAGGGGAGCAAACGGG